GGGUGACAGCCCCGUACACAAAAAUGCACAUGCUGUGAGCUCGAUGAGUAGGGCGGGACACGUGGUAUCCUGUCUGAAUAUGGGGGGACCAUCCUCCAAGGCUAAAUACUCCUGACUGACCGAUAGUGAACCAGUACCGUGAGGGAAAGGCGAAAAGAACCCCGGCGAGGGGAGUGAAAAAGAACCUGAAACCGUGUACGUACAAGCAGUGGGAGCCUCUUUUAUGGGGUGACUGCGUACCUUUUGUAUAAUGGGUCAGCGACUUAUAUUCUGUAGCAAGGUUAACCGAAUAGGGGAGCCGAAGGGAAACCGAGUCUUAACUGGGCGUUAAGUUGCAGGGUAUAGACCCGAAACCCGGUGAUCUAGCCAUGGGCAGGUUGAAGGUUGGGUAACACUAACUGGAGGACCGAACCGACUAAUGUUGAAAAAUUAGCGGAUGACUUGUGGCUGGGGGUGAAAGGCCAAUCAAACCGGGAGAUAGCUGGUUCUCCCCGAAAGCUAUUUAGGUAGCGCCUCGUGAAUUCAUCUCCGGGGGUAGAGCACUGUUUCGGCAAGGGGGUCAUCCCGACUUACCAACCCGAUGCAAACUGCGAAUACCGGAGAAUGUUAUCACGGGAGACACACGGCGGGUGCUAACGUCCGUCGUGAAGAGGGAAACAACCCAGACCGCCAGCUAAGGUCCCAAAGUCAUGGUUAAGUGGGAAACGAUGUGGGAAGGCCCAGACAGCCAGGAUGUUGGCUUAGAAGCAGCCAUCAUUUAAAGAAAGCGUAAUAGCUCACUGGUCGAGUCGGCCUGCGCGGAAGAUGUAACGGGGCUAAACCAUGCACCGAAGCUGCGGCAGCGACGCUUAUGCGUUGUUGGGUAGGGGAGCGUUCUGUAAGCCUGUGAAGGUGUGCUGUGAGGCAUGCUGGAGGUAUCAGAAGUGCGAAUGCUGACAUAAGUAACGAUAAAGCGGGUGAAAAGCCCGCUCGCCGGAAGACCAAGGGUUCCUGUCCAACGUUAAUCGGGGCAGGGUGAGUCGACCCCUAAGGCGAGGCCGAAAGGCGUAGUCGAUGGGAAACAGGUUAAUAUUCCUGUACUUGGUGUUACUGCGAAGGGGGGACGGAGAAGGCUAUGUUGGCCGGGCGACGGUUGUCCCGGUUUAAGCGUGUAGGCUGGUUUUCCAGGCAAAUCCGGAAAAUCAAGGCUGAGGCGUGAUGACGAGGCACUACGGUGCUGAAGCAACAAAUGCCCUGCUUCCAGGAAAAGCCUCUAAGCAUCAGGUAACAUCAAAUCGUACCCCAAACCGACACAGGUGGUCAGGUAGAGAAUACCAAGGCGCUUGAGAGAACUCGGGUGAAGGAACUAGGCAAAAUGGUGCCGUAACUUCGGGAGAAGGCACGCUGAUAUGUAGGUGAAGCGACUUGCUCGUGGAGCUGAAAUCAGUCGAAGAUACCAGCUGGCUGCAACUGUUUAUUAAAAACACAGCACUGUGCAAACACGAAAGUGGACGUAUACGGUGUGACGCCUGCCCGGUGCCGGAAGGUUAAUUGAUGGGGUCAGCGCAAGCGAAGCUCUUGAUCGAAGCCCCGGUAAACGGCGGCCGUAACUAUAACGGUCCUAAGGUAGCGAAAUUCCUUGUCGGGUAAGUUCCGACCUGCACGAAUGGCGUAAUGAUGGCCAGGCUGUCUCCACCCGAGACUCAGUGAAAUUGAACUCGCUGUGAAGAUGCAGUGUACCCGCGGCAAGACGGAAAGACCCCGUGAACCUUUACUAUAGCUUGACACUGAACAUUGAGCCUUGAUGUGUAGGAUAGGUGGGAGGCUUUGAAGUGUGGACGCCAGUCUGCAUGGAGCCGACCUUGAAAUACCACCCUUUAAUGUUUGAUGUUCUAACGUUGACCCGUAAUCCGGGUUGCGGACAGUGUCUGGUGGGUAGUUUGACUGGGGCGGUCUCCUCCUAAAGAGUAACGGAGGAGCACGAAGGUUGGCUAAUCCUGGUCGGACAUCAGGAGGUUAGUGCAAUGGCAUAAGCCAGCUUGACUGCGAGCGUGACGGCGCGAGCAGGUGCGAAAGCAGGUCAUAGUGAUCCGGUGGUUCUGAAUGGAAGGGCCAUCGCUCAACGGAUAAAAGGUACUCCGGGGAUAACAGGCUGAUACCGCCCAAGAGUUCAUAUCGACGGCGGUGUUUGGCACCUCGAUGUCGGCUCAUCACAUCCUGGGGCUGAAGUAGGUCCCAAGGGUAUGGCUGUUCGCCAUUUAAAGUGGUACGCGAGCUGGGUUUAGAACGUCGUGAGACAGUUCGGUCCCUAUCUGCCGUGGGCGCUGGAGAACUGAGGGGGGCUGCUCCUAGUACGAGAGGACCGGAGUGGACGCAUCACUGGUGUUCGGGUUGUCAUGCCAAUGGCACUGCCCGGUAGCUAAAUGCGGAAGAGAUAAGUGCUGAAAGCAUCUAAGCACGAAACUUGCC
This 2448-nucleotide ribosomal RNA is filed under the name Escherichia coli. Its description in RNAcentral is "partial 23S ribosomal RNA". It matches the Rfam family "Bacterial large subunit ribosomal RNA", at positions 362 to 2798 of the family's 2925-position model. The record is from RNAcentral. Lineage: Bacteria; Pseudomonadati; Pseudomonadota; Gammaproteobacteria; Enterobacterales; Enterobacteriaceae.